CCUACGGGGGGCAGCAGUCGAGAAUCAUUCACAAUGGGGGAAACCCUGAUGGGGCGACGCCGCGUGGGGGAAUGAAGGUCUUCGGAUUGUAAACCCCUGUCAUGUGGGAGCAAAUUAAAAAGAUAGUACCACAAGAGGAAGAGACGGCUAACUCUGUGCCAGCAGCCGCGGUAAUACAGAGGUCUCAAGCGUUGUUCGGAAUCACUGGGCGUAAAGCGUGCGUAGGCUGUUUCGUAAGUCGUGUGUGAAAGGCGCGGGCUCAACCCGCGGACGGCACAUGAUACUGCGAGACUAGAGUAAUGGGGGGGGACCCGGAAUUCUCGGUGUAGCAGUGAACUGCGUAGAUGUCGGGAGGAACACUCGUGGCGAGGGCGGGUUCCUGGACAUUAACUGACGCUGGGGCACGAAGGCCAGGGAGGCGAAAGGAUUAGAUACCCGAGUAGUC
RNAcentral lists this ribosomal RNA (445 nucleotides) under uncultured bacterium. RNAcentral describes it as "partial 16S ribosomal RNA". It matches the Rfam family "Bacterial small subunit ribosomal RNA", at positions 338 to 795 of the family's 1533-position model. The record is from RNAcentral.